RNAcentral lists this ribosomal RNA (511 nucleotides) under uncultured bacterium. RNAcentral describes it as "bacterial SSU rRNA". It matches the Rfam family "Bacterial small subunit ribosomal RNA", at positions 33 to 518 of the family's 1533-position model. The record is from RNAcentral.
ACGCUGGCGGCGUGCCUAGUACAUGCAAGUCGAACGGCUUUUCAUGAAGCUUGCUUCACUGAGAAGAUAGUGGCGAACGGGUGAGUAACACGUGGGUAACCUGCCCAUAAGAGGGGGGAUAACAUCCGGAAACGGGUGCUAAUACCGCAUAGUUUUCUUGAUCGCAUGAUUGAGAAAGGAAAGACGGCCUUUGUGCUGUCGCUUAUGGAUGGACCCGCGGCGUAUUAGUUAGUUGGUGAGGUAACGGCUCACCAAGACGAUGAUACGUAGCCGACCUGAGAGGGUGAUCGGCCACAUUGGGACUGAGACACGGCCCAAACUCCUACGGGAGGCAGCAGUAGGGAAUCUUCCGCAAUGGACGAAAGUCUGACGGAGCAACGCCGCGUGAGUGAAGAAAAGGUUUUCGGAUCGUAAAACUCUGUUGUCAGAGAAGAACAAGUUGGAGAGUAACUGCUCCAGCCUUGACGGUAUCUGACCAGAAAGCCACGGCUAACUACGUGCCAGCAGCCGC